This 73-nucleotide transfer RNA is filed under the name Cordylochernes scorpioides. RNAcentral's name for it is "tRNA-Thr". Lineage: Eukaryota; Metazoa; Arthropoda; Arachnida; Pseudoscorpiones; Chernetidae. The record is from RNAcentral.
GUCCAGGGGCGGGAAUCGAACCCACAACCUUCUGCUUACCGGGCAUGUGCCAUGUCCACUAGGCUACCCUGGA